This 241-nucleotide ribosomal RNA is filed under the name uncultured Staphylococcus sp. Its description in RNAcentral is "partial 16S ribosomal RNA". It matches the Rfam family "Bacterial small subunit ribosomal RNA", at positions 99 to 334 of the family's 1533-position model. The record is from RNAcentral. Lineage: Bacteria; Bacillati; Bacillota; Bacilli; Caryophanales; Staphylococcaceae.
CGGACGGGUGAGUAACACGUGGAUAACCUACCUAUAAGACUGGGAUAACUUCGGGAAACCGGAGCUAAUACCGGAUAAUAUUUCGAACCGCAUGGUUCAAAAGUGAAAGACGGUCUUGCUGUCACUUAUAGAUGGAUCCGCGCUGCAUUAGCUAGUUGGUAAGGUAACGGCUUACCAAGGCAACGAUGCAUAGCCGACCUGAGAGGGUGAUCGGCCACACUGGAACUGAGACACGGUCCAG